RNAcentral lists this ribosomal RNA (2205 nucleotides) under human gut metagenome. RNAcentral describes it as "bacterial LSU rRNA". It matches the Rfam family "Bacterial large subunit ribosomal RNA", at positions 14 to 2312 of the family's 2925-position model. The record is from RNAcentral.
AGAGCGCAAGGGGAAUGCCUUGGCACCAGGAGCCGACGAAGGACGCAGCAAUCUGCGAAAAGCCACGGGGAGCCGAAAGCAGGCAUCGAUCCGUGGAUGUCCGAAUGGGGAAACCCGGCUGAGUGAAGCUCAGUCAGCGUACACUGAAUCCAUAGGUGUGCGUGGGGAACCGCCUGAACUGAAACAUCUAAGUAGGGCGAGGAAAAGAAAUCAACCGAGAUUCCGCAAGUAGUGGCGAGCGAACGCGGAAGAGGCCAAACCGGCUGUAGAAAUAUGGCCGGGGUAAGGACAGCAAAAUGUAUGUUGGACCCUAGCAGAAGGGCAUGGGACGGCCCACCACAGAGAGUGAUAGUCUCGUAUGCGAAAGGGAAAAACAGCAAGCUGUAUCCAGAGUACCACUGGACACGUGAAACCCGGUGGGAAUGUGGGGGGACCACCCUCCAAGCCUAAAUACUCCCUGGUGACCGAUAGUGAAGAGUACUGUGAAGGAAAGGUGAAAAGAACCCCGGGAGGGGAGUGAAAAGAACCUGAAACCUUGUGCUUACAAGCACACAGAGCACGUCAAGGUGUGAUGUGGUACCUUUUGUAGAAUGGUCCGGCGAGUGAAUGUAACGAGCAAGGUUAAGCACUUUAGGUGUGGAGCCGAAGCGAAAGCAAGUCUGAAAAGGGCGAGAAGUUCGUUGUAUUCGACCCGAAACCGGGUGACCUAGCCAUGUCCAGGCUGAAGUGAAGGUAAAACUUCAUGGAGGGCCGAACCCACUCCCGUUGAAAUGGUAGGGGAUGAGGUGUGGCUAGCGGAGAAAUUCCAAUCGAACCCGGAGAUAGCUGGUUCUCUCCGAAAUAGCUUUAGGGCUAGCCUCGACUGAACAUUACCGGAGGUAAAGCACUGAAUGGGCUAGGGGCCGAGAGGUUACUGAACCCUAUCAAACUAAGAAUGCCGGAUAAUGAUAGUCGGGAGUCAGACAGUGUGAGAUAAGUUUCAUUGUCGAAAGGGAAACAGCCCAGACCCACAGCUAAGGUCCCAAAGUAUCGUUAAGUGGAAAAGGAUGUGGAACUGCCCAGACAACCAGGAUGUUGGCUCAGAAGCAGCCAUACAUUCAAAGAGUGCGUAAUAGCUCACUGGUCGAGUGGUUCUGCGCCGAAAAUUUAACGGGGCUAAACGAUACACCGAAGCUUGGGAUGCAGCAUUGGCUGCAUGGUAGGAGAGCGUUCUGUACGGGGUGAAGUCAUAGCGGAAGCGGUGGUGGACUGUACAGAAGAGAGAAUGCCGGAAUGAGUAGCGAGAUUUAUGUGAGAAUCAUAAAGGCCGAAAGACUAAGGAUUUAGAAGGAAGGUUCGUCCGCUUCUAGUUAGCCGGGAGCUAAGGCGAGGCCGAAAGGCGUAGUCGAUGCACAUACGGUGGAGAUUCCGUAGCCGCCUCUUAAUUUAAGCAAAGGGACACUUUCAAAGGGAAUGACCCGGGCGUUGGUAGCCCCGGGCGAAAGGGACCGAAAUUAGAGUAGGGAAGCAUUUCUGGAGGAAGGCGAGAAAAGCUUUGCGGAUAGAGAGAGGCGCCCGUACCGCAAACCGACACAGGUAGUCAGGAAGAGGAUUCUAAGGCCAACGGGAGAAGGGUAGUUAAGGAACUCGGCAAAUUGACCCCGUAACUUCGGAAUAAGGGGUGCUCCUGAAAAGGAGCCGCAGUGAAUAGGCCCAGGCGACUGUUUAUCAAAAACACAGCUCUCUGCUAAAUCGAAAGAUGAAGUAUAGGGGGUGACACCUGCCCGGUGCUGGAAGGUUAAGAGGAAGGGUGCAAGCUCUGAAUUGAAGCCCCAGUAAACGGCGGCCGUAACUAUAACGGUCCUAAGGUAGCGAAAUUCCUUGUCGGGUAAGUUCCGACCCGCACGAAUGGUGUAACGAUCUGGGCACUGUCUCAACUACCCACCCGGCGAAAUUGUAGUACCGGUGAAGAUGCCGGUUACCUGCGGCAAGACGGAAAGACCCCAUGGAGCUUUACUGUAGCCUGAUAUUGGGUUUCGGUAUUCUAUGUACAGGAUAGGCGGGAGACUGGGAACCGAUGGCGUCAGCUGUCGGGGAGUCACCCUUGGGAUACCGCUCUUAGAGUACUGGAAUUCUAACCUGCGGCCGUGAAUCCGGCCGGGGGACAUUGUCAGGUGGGCAGUUUGACUGGGGCGGUCGCCUCCAAAAAGGUAACGGAGGCGCUCA